Molecule: transfer RNA, 120 nt
Filed under: Candidatus Bathyarchaeota archaeon
Lineage: Archaea; Thermoproteati; Candidatus Bathyarchaeota
Description: tRNA-OTHER
Rfam family: tRNA
About the family: Transfer RNA (tRNA) molecules are approximately 80 nucleotides in length. Their secondary structure includes four short double-helical elements and three loops (D, anti-codon, and T loops). Further hydrogen bonds mediate the characteristic L-shaped molecular structure. tRNAs have two regions of fundamental functional importance: the anti-codon, which is responsible for specific mRNA codon recognition, and the 3' end, to which the tRNAs corresponding amino acid is attached (by aminoacyl-tRNA synthetases). tRNAs cope with the degeneracy of the genetic code in two manners: having more than one tRNA (with a specific anti-codon) for a particular amino acid; and 'wobble' base-pairing, i.e. permitting non-standard base-pairing at the 3rd anti-codon position.
Source: RNAcentral
GCGGGGGUACCCGAGCCAGGUCUAAAUAGGCUGUUUGGGGCGCAGACCAGCCUAAGACAAGGGGGAGGACUUAAGAUCCUCUGGCGUAGGCCUCCGUGGGUUCGAAUCCCACCCCCCGCA